This 253-nucleotide ribosomal RNA is filed under the name uncultured bacterium. RNAcentral describes it as "partial 16S ribosomal RNA". It matches the Rfam family "Bacterial small subunit ribosomal RNA", at positions 524 to 776 of the family's 1533-position model. The record is from RNAcentral.
UACGUAGGGUGCAGGCGUUAAUCGGAAUUACUGGGCGUAAAGCGUGCGCAGGCGGUUUCUUAAGUCAGAUGUGAAAGCCCCGGGCUUAACCUGGGAACUGCGUUUGAAACUGGGAGACUUGAGUGUGGCAGAGGGGGGUGGAAUUCCGCGUGUAGCAGUGAAAUGCGUAGAGAUGCGGAGGAACACCGAUGGCGAAGGCAGCCCCCUGGGCCAACACUGACGCUCAGGCACGAAAGCGUGGGGAGCAAACAGG